RNAcentral lists this long non-coding RNA (769 nucleotides) under Parus major (Great Tit). RNAcentral's name for it is "lncRNA (ENSPMJG00000011206.1)". The record is from RNAcentral. Lineage: Eukaryota; Metazoa; Chordata; Aves; Passeriformes; Paridae.
GCUGAAUUACCUCUUUUGCAGAGAUAUUCCAAGUUGCAUAACUGACAUAAAAGGUUCCAUUUCACUGUGUGCAAGUGCUGCUGAAGGAUUAUUGUGUAGGUGGAAUUACUUAAAGGUGGAUCAGAGCAGAAGCUCCUGUGAAGCAGAUCUCCCAGCAGAACAGUGUGUGUUUGUGACACACUUUAUAAUUUUGAGGGAGGGAUUUCCAGCAGCAGUUAAUAACAAAAUGGAAAUUGUGUGGAAGAGGAGGUAUGUUUUUCAGUGUUGCUACCUGAAAGCUGACCAAAGAGUCCCCAGACCCCAGCUUGAUUUGUGUGAGAAGGGAGAUAAGAGGUGCUGAGGGGGAGACAGAGGUGGGAUGUGUGGAAAGGUAUAGAUUUAUUUGUGGGGGUGUUUUUUCAUGAUCUCUGUCUUGCACCCACAUAAGUGUUCCAUUUUCCAUGAGCCUCUGUCUUGAAGCAUUUAUCCUGCCUCUUCAUCUUCCUGACCUUUGUAUCUAUAGCAGCUGAAGUAGCAGCUUUUCCUAGCUGAUGCACCCCAUGGUAGCCACCUACUUUAAGGUGCCCAGAAGGUUUUUGAGAAUUUUGCCUCUGCUGUUCUUCCUCUCUAUACAUCACUUCCAACUGUAUCAAUGUUGGGAGUCUAACGAGCUAAAGCCAGAAGUCUGAAACACAGACAGGAAAACAGAGGAUGUUUGUGCCUGGGGAAAGCAGGGACACAUGUUUUUAAAUAUUUUUUUAAAAUAUUUUUUCUCUUAGUUGUACAAAUC